GGACAACCUACCCUACGGAGGGGGAUAACCCCGGGAAACUGGGGAUAAUACCCCAUAGACUAUGGAUGCUGGAAUGCUCUGUAGCCGAAAGGUCCGCCGCCGUAGGAUGGGUCUGCGGCCGAUUAGGUUGUUGUUGGGGUAACGGCCCAACAAGCCUGUAAUCGGUACGGGUUGUGGGAGCAAGAGCCCGGAGAUGGAUUCUGAGACACGAAUCCAGGCCCUACGGGGCGCAGCAGGCGCGAAAACUUUGCAAUGCGGGAAACCGUGACAAGGGAACUCUGAGUGCCCGUAUAAUCGGGCUGUCCAUCGGUUUAAAUAACCGGUGAAGAAAGGGCCGGGCAAGACCGGUGCCAGCCGCCGCGGUAAUACCGGCGGCUCGAGUGGUGGCCACUAUUACUGGGCUUAAAGCGUUCGUAGCUGGUUUGUUAAGUCUCUGGGGAAAUCUUCCGGCUUAACCGGAAGGCGUCUCAGGGAUACUGGCAGACUAGGGACCGGGAGAGGUGAGAGGUACUCCAGGGGUAGGAGUGAAAUCCUGUAAUCCUAGGGGGACCACCUGUGGCGAAGGCGUCUCACCAGAACGGGUCUGACGGUGAGGGACGAAAGCUGGGGGAGCAAACCGGAUUAGAUACCCCGGUAGUCCCAGCCGUAAACGAUGCGCGUUAGGUGUAUCGGUGACCACGAGCCCAAUUAGUGUCGAAGAGAAGUUGUUAAGCAAGCUGCCUGGG
RNAcentral lists this ribosomal RNA (725 nucleotides) under uncultured Methanomicrobiaceae archaeon. RNAcentral describes it as "SSU rRNA". It matches the Rfam family "Archaeal small subunit ribosomal RNA", at positions 102 to 832 of the family's 1478-position model. The record is from RNAcentral. Lineage: Archaea; Methanobacteriati; Methanobacteriota; Methanomicrobia; Methanomicrobiales; Methanomicrobiaceae.